UUUACACUUAACAUCCACUUUCAAAUUCCACUUAACAUCACUGCAGCCAAGUCAUUCCUCCUCCUACGCCAUAUCCCCUUCUCCUACAAAUCCGACAGCAAAUUCAUUCUCCCAAUCUCCAAAAUCUUUCAACAUUCAUUAUAUAUUUAUUUUCCACUCAAGAGAAGCUCAAAAGAAAUCCAGACAACAACGACUCAACUCCAUCCAAAAUUCCUUAAGGCUUUGUGACCAGGGGGAUUAGCGCUGCUUUCCCAAGACAGGUUUAUAAGUGAUUAUGAUCUUCAGGCUUUGCCUAACCAGGUGGGCAUUACUUUUACUAUACGUAUAUAGAGAUCCCCUGCGUGUCGUAGGCCUCUUAUACGAAUAUAUGCAUGAGAUGAUUUUAACUGUUAAUUUCAGUUUAUUAUUAUGCCCAAAUGAUAAAUGACUCUUAUGAAAUAAAAAUGAAAUGUUUAUGAAAUGAAAUGAAAUGUUUAUGAAAUGAUUGACUGCCAAAAAUGUUUAUGUUUUUAUAUGUAUCCUAUCUGUGUUGGUUCGCCAACUUUAAAGGAAAUCCAAUUGGGAUCCUAUGCUAGACAAAGGUCGCUAGCUAGGGUUAACGUGUACACUUACGGAGACCGCGAGUCGCUUGCGACCGGUCUUGGCGUCCGUGGUAAGGAGGCCUCCUUCCCGGCGCGUGACAGAAAGGAACAGAUAUGGAUCAUAUGAAGGAAAAUGAUCGGCCGAUCGACUUUAUGAAAAUGAAAGAAAUAUUUUAGUAAGCGCAGGUCAUUUAAGAAAACCCCUGUGUGUUACUGUUAUGGCAGUUCAAUUUAUAUAUGUAUGCAUGUUGUAUUUUCGGCUAUGCCCACUGAGUAUUUUUUAUACUCAGCCCUGCAUGUAUUUCUAAAUGUGCAGGUUGAGCAGUUGAUGGAAUGGAAUGAUGUUGAGCGGGUGUUCCUGUGACAUUUCAAGAAAUGUAACCUUGAGUAUACAUCUUCAUAUGUAUAUCUCACACGUUUUCCGCUGCAAAACACUUGAUUAGGAUAGCUCUAUGAUAUGAAGUUGUGAUACGUGUUAUUGGGUAACCACCUUAAUCAGUUCUCAUUUAUGUGUAUGUUUUAUAAGUAUCCAAAUAAUCAUAUAUGAUCCUAGCAUUUUAUCUAUGAGUGACAUUUCCAUAUACUUUAAUGUUAA
Molecule: long non-coding RNA, 1176 nt
Organism: Salvia miltiorrhiza (redroot sage)
Lineage: Eukaryota; Viridiplantae; Streptophyta; Magnoliopsida; Lamiales; Lamiaceae
Exons: 2
Source: RefSeq, a predicted model, not a curated record